UGGUUAAGUGAAUAAGGGCGUACGGUGAAUGCCUUGGCACUAGGAGCCGAUGAAGGACGGGACGAACACCGAUAUGCUUCGGGGAGCUGUAAGUAAGCUUUGAUCCGGAGAUUUCCGAAUGGGGGAACCUCAUUGUUUUUAUCGACAAUGGUCCACUCAGUGAACACAUAGCUGAGUGGAAGGUAGACGUGGUGAACUGAAACAUCUCAGUAGCCACAGGAAGAGAAAGAAAAAUCGAUUUCCCGAGUAGCGGCGAGCGAAACGGAAAGAGGCCAAACCAGCGUGCUUGCAUGCUGGGGUUGUAGGACUGAUGGACGGGAGUGAAUGAGCUAGUCGAACGCCAUGGAAAGGGCGAUCAGAGAGGGUGACAAUCCCGUAGGCGAAAGCUCAGCCACCUCAUUCAGUAUCCUGAGUACGGCGGUACACGUGAAAUUCCGUCGGAAUCCGCCAGGACCAUCUGGCAAGCCUAAAUACUCCCUAGUGACCGAUAGUGAACCAGUACCGUGAGGGAAAGGUGAAAAGCACCCCGGAAGGGGAGUGAAAGAGUACCUGAAACCGUAUGCCUACAAGCAGUCAGAGCCCGUUAAGGGGUGAUGGCGUACUUUUUGUAGAACGGACCGGCGAGUGACGAUAGCAAGCAAGGUUAAGCUGAAGAAGCGGAGCCACAGCGAAAGCGAGUCUGAAGAGGGCGUUGAGUUUGUUGUCGUCGACCCGAAACCAAGUGAUCUACUCAUGUCCAGGCUGAAGGUGUGGUAAAACACACUGGAGGGCCGAACCCACGUCUGUUGAAAAAGGCGGGGAUGAGGUGUGGGUAGCGGUGAAAUUCCAAUCGAACUUGGAGAUAGCUGGUUCUCUCCGAAAUAGCUUUAGGGCUAGCCUCGGAUGAUGACUAUUGGAGGUAGAGCACUGUUUGAUCGAGGGGUCCAUCCUGGAUUACCGACAUCUGAUAAACUCCGAAUGCCAAAUAGUUUAGUCCGGGAGUCAGACUGCGAGUGAUAAGAUCCGUAGUCGAAAGGGAAAGAGCCCAGACCACCAGCUAAGGUCCCAAAGUUUCAGUUAAGUGGAAAAGGAUGUGGGGUUGCUUAGACAACUAGGAUGUUGGCUUAGAAGCAGCCAUCAUUGAAAGAGUGCGUAAUAGCUCACUAGUCGAGUGACCCUGCGCCGAAAAUGUACCGGGGCUAAACUGAACACCGAAGCUGUGGAUCCGUAGGAUGGUAGGAGAGCGUUCUAUAGGCAGAGAAGCAUGAUCGUGAGGACAUGUGGAGCGUAUAGAAGUGAGAAUGCCGGUAUGAGUAGCGAAAGACGGGUGAGAAUCCCGUCCACCGAAUGACUAAGGUUUCCUGGGGAAGGCUCGUCCUCCCAGGGUUAGUCGGGACCUAAGCCGAGACCGAAAGGGAUAGGCGAUGGACAACAGGUUGAGAUUCCUGUACUUGUUUGAUUUGUUUGAGCGAUGGAAGGACACAGAAGGCUAAGCGGAGCGCGGAGAUGGAAAAACGCGUCCAAGCAAUGAGUGAGAAGGUGAGUGAAAGGCUUGCCUCAGACUUCAUGAGUUGUGACGGGGAGGGAAGUUUAGUACCGAAGCCGCCGACGUCACGCUGUCAAGAAAAGUUUCUAGUGAGAAUCAAACAACCCGUACCGCAAACCGACACAGGUAGUCGAGUGGAGAACACUAAGGUGAGCGAGCGAACUCUCGUUAAGGAACUCGGCAAAAUGACCCCGUAACUUCGGGAGAAGGGGUGCUGACCGCAAGGUCAGCCGCAGUGAAUAGGCCCAAGCGACUGUUUAUCAAAAACAUAGGUCUCUGCCAAAUCGAAAGAUGAUGUAUAGAGGCUGACGCCUGCCCGGUGCUGGAAGGUUAAGAGGAAGGGUUAGCGUAUGCGAAGCUCUGAAUUGAAGCCCCAGUAAACGGCGGCCGUAACUAUAACGGUCCUAAGGUAGCGAAAUUCCUUGUCAGGUAAGUUCUGACCCGCACGAAAGGCGUAACGAUUUGGGCACUGUCUCAACGAGAGGCUCGGUGAAAUUGUAGUACCAGUGAAGAUGCUGGUUACCCGCGACAGGACGGAAAGACCCCAUGGAGCUUUACUGUAGGUUGAUAUUGAAUGUUUGUGCCACAUGUACAGGAUAGGUAGGAGCCAUCGAAGUCGGGACGCUAGUCUCGAUGGAGGCACUGGUGGGAUACUACCCUUGUGGGAUGACCAUUCUAACCCGCGACCAUUAGCUGGUCGGGAGACAGUGUCAGUCAGGCAGUUUGACUGGGGCGGUCGCCUCCUAAAGUGUAACGGAGGCGCCCAAAGGUUCCCUCAGAAUGGUUGGAAAUCAUUCGCAGAGUGUAAAGGCAGAAGGGAGCUUGACUGCGAGACCUACAAGUCGAGCAGGGACGAAAGUCGGGCUUAGUGAUCCGGUGGUUCCGCAUGGAAGGGCCAUCGCUCAACGGAUAAAAGCUACCCUGGGGAUAACAGGCUUAUCUCCCCCAAGAGUUCACAUCGACGGGGAGGUUUGGCACCUCGAUGUCGGCUCAUCGCAUCCUGGGGCUGAAGUCGGUCCCAAGGGUUGGGCUGUUCGCCCAUUAAAGCGGUACGCGAGCUGGGUUCAGAACGUCGUGAGACAGUUCGGUCCCUAUCCGUCGCGGGCGUUGGAAAUUUGAGAGGAGCUGUCCUUAGUACGAGAGGACCGGGAUGGACACACCGCUGGUGUACCAGUUGUUCCACCAGGAGCAUGGCUGGGUAGCUAUGUGUGGACGGGAUAAGCGCUGAAAGCAUCUAAGCGUGAAGCCCCCCUCAAGAUGAGAUUUCCCAUACUUUGAAAGUAGUAAGACCCCUGAAAGACGAUCAGGUUGAUAGGUUUGGAGUGGAAGCUUAGCAAUAAGUGGAGCGGACAAAUACUAAUCGGUCGAGGACUUAUCCAAA
RNAcentral lists this ribosomal RNA (2906 nucleotides) under Aerococcus urinae. Its description in RNAcentral is "bacterial LSU rRNA". It matches the Rfam family "Bacterial large subunit ribosomal RNA". The record is from RNAcentral. Lineage: Bacteria; Bacillati; Bacillota; Bacilli; Lactobacillales; Aerococcaceae.